Molecule: non-coding RNA, 214 nt
Organism: Pelobates cultripes (western spadefoot toad)
Lineage: Eukaryota; Metazoa; Chordata; Amphibia; Anura; Pelobatidae
Source: the annotation of a GenBank genome assembly
CCACCUACGCUACAGAGGGUAACCGCACCGGUGGGCAAUACCACAACUCCGGGGUAUCAAAAGACCGCUCCAAUGUGUUAUGGGUGCAAGCAAGUGGGGCACAUCAAACCUAAUUGCCCACAACGUACUACAGACCGCUGGGGGCGGACACCAGUACCACCAACCAAAGCAGCCACACACUGUGUGCAAGAGGAUUACAACUCUCUGACUCAAG